UAGGCAAUGAAUGGGCUCUCACAUACCUC
RNAcentral lists this non-coding RNA (29 nucleotides) under Homo sapiens (human). Lineage: Eukaryota; Metazoa; Chordata; Mammalia; Primates; Hominidae. The record is from RNAcentral.